Tribolium castaneum (red flour beetle) is the source of this 1169-nucleotide long non-coding RNA. RefSeq lists it as uncharacterized. The record is from RefSeq and is a predicted model, not a curated record. The transcript is spliced from 3 exons. Lineage: Eukaryota; Metazoa; Arthropoda; Insecta; Coleoptera; Tenebrionidae.
AAUUGGAUAUAUUUGAGUCCCCUCGGCGUUGUUCGUCCGGCAAUCACAUCUAUACGAUAUUAGGCUAACACGGCUAACGAUAAUGGAUAUCGGGAUUGUCGGGAAUCUGAUUUAUGGAACGGAAAACAAAUCUUGGGGCUAGCGAGCAAAUUGAAUCAGGUCAGAACGUCAUGUCAAGUUUGUGCUCGACGCCGUUUUAUGACAGCUUCAUUGGAUAUCGCCGAAAUUAUUCACGCACCAGCCGAAAAAAUAACUAGUCUGGCGCAUCCGCCAUAAUUCUCAGCGAACGCCUCAUCUGAUCGGAAAAGGCGAAACGCGUAACGAAGGCGAGACAAAUGUAGCUCCUCGCGCGAUAGGAGAAGCCGAAAAGGGCUGAAGAAUGGGGUGCCGGCUACGUUGAAUAGGGUAAGCGGAUAGAGGGCGCAGAGCGUGAUAAAUAUUGGGCAAUAAGUGGCGGAGCAACGUGGCUGGCAGUGAGAAGCUGUCGCGACCUCAUGCAGCCGACCGUGUAAUUGGAUGGAGUGCAGCGAUAUUGACAUCCGGAGGACCGGAAUCGGGAGCAGCGCCGCCACCGCAAAACGCCAUCCCCACUCGAACUUCUUCCAGAUCCAGAACCAAUAAUGCGAGAUCCUAUCGGACCGCUACAUUAGUUUCGGAUAUGACGAAGUCCGGCCUUCCAUUAUAAUGUAAAGCAUAACUAUGAGUGGCUAUUUCCAUAUACGAUCCGAGAAUGAUAGCAUCUAGAUCUCCGGGGUGGCUGCAAUAACAAUCUCCUUGUAUGAAUUGUUAUAGCUCUCGCUAUCAUUCAGUGGACAUCUCAUUCCGGCUUCUCGAUGACCGCGCUAUACGCGCUACUGGUUUGCUGUUUACGACCAACCAACCAAACCUACGUAGGGGUCUCCGAUUUAUUCCGCAGACUGGUGGAGGUGUUGCUUAUGAAUUAUUUCCUACGACGGAAAACUUGACCUCAACAACUUCACUUUUACCACUCGAUUUACUAAAAAUAAACACAUAUUUCACUACACCAUUGCCAUCUAUGUCUGCUCAACUAUUCAUAAUGCCACUCCAACGACACGGACGCGGAGAAUGCCUUAAACAUUUAUCACGAAUAAAACGUACGAGCGACACAAUAUUCGAGGGUGGCGGAAAUGUUUCACUAGCGCUGGGAC